GUGCUCUACUUCAGCAGCACAUAUACUAAAAUUGGAACGAUACAGAGAUUAGUAUGGUCCCAGCUCAGGGAUUACACGUAGAUUCGUGAAGCAUUCCAUAUUUUA
Apodemus sylvaticus (European woodmouse) is the source of this 105-nucleotide small nuclear RNA. The record is from RefSeq and is a predicted model, not a curated record. NCBI's taxonomy places the organism in Eukaryota, Metazoa, Chordata, Mammalia, Rodentia, Muridae.